AUGGCAGCCCCGCCCAUCUCCGGCCACCCCCAUUCCCCCGGCGACUCGCCGCUCCCCACCGACGCCCUCCUCGCGCACCCCCAAGCCCCCUCCGCCCCCGCGCCCCAGCCCCCCGCCGCCUCCCGCUUCCUCAUCAUCCUCACCGCCGCCCUCGCCGUCUCCACCUCCUACCUCCUCCUCCUCCGCCCGCCCUUCUCCGCCGUGUCCGCCGCCGCCGCCUCCACCGCGUCCUUCGCGCGGCCGCUGUCCAGGCUCCCGAAGCCGGUGGUCCUCCUCGUAUCCUCCGACGGCUUCCGCUUCGGCUACCACCACAAGGCCCCCACCCCGCACAUCCGCCGCCUCAUCGCCAAUGGCACCUCCGCCGCCGAGGGCCUCAUCCCCGUCUUCCCCACCCUCACAUUCCCCAACCACUACUCCAUCGUCACCGGCCUCCACCCUUCCUCCCACGGCAUCAUCAACAACUUCUUCCCCGACCCCGUCUCGGGGGACGAAUUCAACAUGGGCUCCCACCAGCCCAAGUGGUGGCUCGGGGAGCCCCUCUGGGUCACCGCCGCCGACCAGGGGGUCCGGGCCUCCACCUUCUUCUGGCCGGGCUCGGAGGUGAAGAAGGGCUCCUGGGACUGCCCCGACAAGUAUUGCCGCCACUAUAAUGGCUCUGUGCCAUUUGAGGACAGGGUUGACGCCGUCCUUGGUUACUUUGAUCUCCCGGCUGAUGAAAUGCCGCAGUUUCUGACACUGUACUUUGAGGAUCCAGAUCACCAGGGCCACCAGGUCGGUCCUGAUGACCCAGCCAUCACUGAUGCUGUGACGCAUAUUGACGAGAUGAUCGGGAGGCUCAUUGCUGGUUUGGAAGCUAGGGGGGUGUUCGAGGAUGUGAACAUUAUAUUGGUUGGGGAUCAUGGGAUGGUUGGGACCUGCGACCAGAAGCUACUGUUUCUCGAGGAAUUGGCUCCAUGGAUUGAGGUGAAGGCUGAUUGGGUUCUGUCGAGGACACCAUUGCUGGCAAUCAGGCCGCCAGAUGGUGUAUCCCCGGCAGAGGUCGUGGCCAAGAUGAAUGAAGGGCUGAGCUCUGGGAAGGUGAAGAAUGGGCAGUAUCUGAAGAUGUACUUGAAGGAGGAUUUGCCUUCUCGCCUGCAUUACUCGGAAAGCUAUAGGAUACCACCAAUUAUUGGGCUGGUAGCUGAAGGUUAUAAGGUGGAGAUGGAAGUAUCAAAGAAAAAUGAGUGUGGAGGGGCGCAUGGGUAUGACAAUGCCUUCUUCUCAAUGAGGACCAUAUUCAUCGCACACGGGCCUCGUUUCGAAGAGGGUAAAAUUGUGCCCUCCUUUCUGAAUGUGGAGAUAUACAAUGUCAUUGCUUCCAUUCUCAGUUUGAAGCCAGCUCCAAACAAUGGCUCCAGUUCUUUCCCUGGAACAGUUCUUUUGCCGAGUGAAUGA
This 1434-nucleotide ribosomal RNA is filed under the name Triticum aestivum (bread wheat). RNAcentral describes it as "partial small subunit ribosomal RNA". Lineage: Eukaryota; Viridiplantae; Streptophyta; Magnoliopsida; Poales; Poaceae. The record is from RNAcentral.